AUAAGGAUUUGUGAUUAUCCUGAAGUACCGAUGAAAUCCGGUGCAAAGAAGAGCAAGAGUUUCUGUCUCUGAGACUGCCUUGCCUUUUCCAAUCUUUCACAGCGAGAAUGGCUGUGAGGUGGUAUGGGGGAAUUGAAUACUGGUCAAAGAACUUUCAGUUAUGAAACGAGUAUGUUCUGGGGAUCCUCAGUAUGGUGACUAGAGUGGUGCUUCUUAUUGACUGAUCUCAAGCCAAAGUCAGAACAAAAGAAACACUUAAUUCACUUAAUUCAGACAAUGAUGUUGGUCUAAUGGGUUAUAGACCAGAGUGGAGAAGAUCAGAAAAAAGAUGUGAAGAG
Mustela lutreola (European mink) is the source of this 338-nucleotide long non-coding RNA. RefSeq lists it as uncharacterized. The transcript is spliced from 3 exons. The record is from RefSeq and is a predicted model, not a curated record. Lineage: Eukaryota; Metazoa; Chordata; Mammalia; Carnivora; Mustelidae.